AGGACGAACGCUGGCGGCGUGCUUAACACAUGCAAGUCGAACGGAAAGGCCCGCUUGCGGGUACUCGAGUGGCGAACGGGUGAGUAACACGUGGGCAACCUGCCCUCAGCUUUGGGAUAACUCCCGGAAACGGGUGCUAAUACCGAAUAUUGACAUUGUCUCGCAUGGGGUGGUGUUGAAAGUUUUUUCGGCUGGGGAUGGGCCCGCGGCCUAUCAGCUUGUUGGUGGGGUGAUGGCCUACCAAGGCGACGACGGGUA
RNAcentral lists this ribosomal RNA (258 nucleotides) under uncultured bacterium. RNAcentral's name for it is "partial small subunit ribosomal RNA". It matches the Rfam family "Bacterial small subunit ribosomal RNA", at positions 26 to 285 of the family's 1533-position model. The record is from RNAcentral.